This 465-nucleotide ribosomal RNA is filed under the name uncultured bacterium. RNAcentral's name for it is "partial 16S ribosomal RNA". It matches the Rfam family "Bacterial small subunit ribosomal RNA", at positions 338 to 795 of the family's 1533-position model. The record is from RNAcentral.
CCUACGGGUGGCAGCAGUGGGGAAUAUUGCGCAAUGGGCGAAAGCCUGACGCAGCGACGCCGCGUGAGGGAUGAAGGUCUUCGGAUCGUAAACCUCUGUCAGCAGGGAAGAACGGUCACUGUGCUAAUCAGCAGUGAAUUGACGGUACCUGCAAAGGAAGCACCGGCUAACUCCGUGCCAGCAGCCGCGGUAAUACGGAGGGUGCGAGCGUUAAUCGGAAUUACUGGGCGUAAGGCGCUCGUAGGCGGUAUGUCAAGUCAAGGGUGAAAUCCCCGCGCUCACCGUGGGAACUGCCUUUGAAACGGGCAAACUGGAGUGUGUGAGAGGAUAGUGGAAUUCCAGGUGUAGGAGUGAAAGCCGUAGAUAUCUGGAGGAACAUCAGUGGCGAAGGCGACUAUCUGGCACAUAACUGACGCUGAGGAGCGAAAGCGUGGGUAGCAAACAGGAUUAGAUACCCCAGUAGUC